GAUGAACGCUAGCGGGAGGCCUAACACAUGCAAGCCGAGCGGUAUUUGUUCUUCGGAACAGAGAGAGCGGUGCACGGGUGCGGAACACGUGUGCAACCUGCCUUUAUCUGGGGGAUAGCCUUUCGAAAGGAAGAUUAAUACCCCAUAAUAUAUUGAGUGGCAUCACUUGAUAUUGAAAACUCCGGUGGACAGAGAUGGGCACGCGCAAGAUUAGAUAGUUGGUGAGGUAACGGCUCACCAAGUCAAUGAUCUUUAGGGGGCCUGAGAGGGUGAUCCCCCACACUGGUACUGAGACACGGACCAGACUCCUACGGGAGGCAGCAGUGAGGAAGAUUGGACAAUGGGUUAGCGCCUGAUCCAGCCAUCCCGCGUGAAGGACGACGGCCCUAUGGGUUGUAAACUUCUUUUGUAUAGGGAUAAACCUACUCUCGUGAGAGUAGCUGAAGGUACUAUACGAAUAAGCACCGGCUAACUCCGUG
This 479-nucleotide ribosomal RNA is filed under the name uncultured bacterium. RNAcentral's name for it is "partial 16S ribosomal RNA". It matches the Rfam family "Bacterial small subunit ribosomal RNA", at positions 28 to 507 of the family's 1533-position model. The record is from RNAcentral.